AUAUAGGUCAAGCUACAAAGGGCGCAUGGUGAAUGCCUUGGCAUCAGGAGCCGAUGAAGGACGUGAUAAGCUGCGAUAAGCUUCGGGUAGGCGCACAUAGCCUGAGAUCCGAAGAUCUCCGAAUGAGGAAACUCACAUGGGAAACCCCAUGUAUCAUUAAGUGAAUACAUAGCUUAAUGAAGGUAACCCAGGGAACUGAAACAUCUAAGUACCUGGAGGAAGAGAAAGAAAAAUCGAUUUUCUUAGUAGCGGCGAGCGAAAGGGAAAGAGCCCAAACCGGAAACUUGUUUCCGGGGUUGUGGACAUAGCAUAAAAGUGGAGGCUAUUGUAACUGAAGAGAACUGGAAAGUUCCACCGUAGAAGGUAAUAGUCCUGUAAGUGAAACGAGAAGACCACGAGUUAUGAUCCAGAGUACCACGAGACACGUGAAACCUUGUGGGAAGCAGGGAGGACCACCUCCCAAGGCUAAAUACUACCUGAUGACCGAUAGUGAAGCAGUACCGUGAGGGAAAGGUGAAAAGAACCCCGGGAGGGGAGUGAAAUAGAACCUGAAACCGUGUGCCUACGACCGCUCAGAGCCCCUUAUGAGGGUGAUGAGGUGCUUUUUGUAGAACGAGCCAACGAGUUACGGUAUGUAGCAAGGUUAAGUACUUAAGGUACGGAGCCGAAGGGAAACCGAGUCUGAAUAGGGCGACUAGUUGCAUGCCGUAGACCCGAAACCGGGUGACCUAUCCAUGGCCAGGUUGAAGCGAGGGUAAAACCUCGUGGAGGACCGAACCACGUUGCUGUUGAAAAAGCAUGGGAUGAGCUGUGGAUAGCGGAGAAAUUCCAAUCGAACCCGGAGAUAGCUGGUUCUCUCCGAAAUAGCUUUAGGGCUAGCGUCGAGUAUGAGUAGUGGAGGUAGAGCACUGAAUGGGCUAGGGGGCAUAGCGCUUACCGAACCUUAUCAAACUCCGAAUGCCACAUACUUUGAGCUCGGCAGUCAGACUACGAAUGAUAAGAUCCGUGGUCAAAAGGGAAACAGCCCAGAUCGUCAGCUAAGGUCCCAAAGUGUAAGUUAAGUGGGAAAGGAUGUGAGAUUUCUAAGACAACUAGGAUGUUGGCUUAGAAGCAGCCAUUCAUUAAAAGAGUGCGUAAUAGCUCACUAGUCGAGAGAUCUUGCGCCGAAAAUGUAACGGGGCUAAACUUACCACCGAAGCUACGGGCUUGAACUUAGUUCAAGCGGUAGGAGAGCGUCGUAACCGGGCUGAAGUCGUACCGUAAGGAGCGGUGGACUGGUUACGAGUGAGAAUGUUGGCAUCAGUAGCGAGAUGUGGGUGAGAAUCCCACAGGCCGAAAACCUAAGGUUUCCUCAGGAAGGUUCGUCCGCUGAGGGUUAGUCGGGACCUAAGCCGAGGCCGAAAGGCGUAGGUGAUGGACAACUGGUUGAUAUUCCAGUACCACUACCAUCGUUAUUAUCGAUGGCGUGACGCAGGAGGAUAGUGUGUGCUAGCUAUUGGAUGCUAGUCUAAGCGUUUAGGCAGUGAGAGUAGGCAAAUCCGCUCUCAUAAUGCUGAGGCGUGAUGGGGAAGGUUCUACGGAACCGAAGUACAUGAUUCCACGCUGCCAAGAAAAGCGUCUAGAGAGAGAAGUAGUGCCCGUACCGCAAACCGACACAGGUAGGUGAGGAGAGAAUCCUAAGGCCGGCGGAAGAAUUACAGUUAAGGAACUCGGCAAAUUGACCCCGUAAGUUCGCGAGAAGGGGUGCCUACGAGAGUAGGCCGCAGAGAAUAGGCCCAAGCAACUGUUUAGCAAAAACACAGGUCUCUGCUAAAGCGUAAGCUGAUGUAUAGGGGCUGACGCCUGCCCGGUGCUGGAAGGUUAAGGGGAACACUUAGCGCAAGCGAAGGUGUGAACUUAAGCCCCAGUAAACGGCGGCCGUAACUAUAACGGUCCUAAGGUAGCGAAAUUCCUUGUCAGGUAAGUUCUGACCCGCACGAAUGGCGUAAUGACUUGGGCACUGUCUCAACUGUAAAUCCGGCGAAGUUGUAGUGCGAGUGAAGAUGCUCGCUACCCGCGAUUGGACGGAAAGACCCCGUAGAGCUUUACUGUAGCUUAGCAUUGAGUUUUGGUAUUGUCUGUACAGGAUAGGUGGGAGACUAGGAAACCAGGGCGUCAGCCUUGGUGGAGUCAACCUUGGGAUACCACCCUGACAGUACUGAAAUUCUAACUGGCGGCCAUGAAUCUGGUCACAGGACAUUGUUAGGUGGGCAGUUUGACUGGGGCGGUCGCCUCCUAAAAAGUAACGGAGGCGCCCAAAGGUUCCCUCAGAACGGUCGGAAAUCGUUCGAAGAGUGCAAAGGCAGAAGGGAGCCUGACUGCGACACCCACAAGUGGAGCAGGGACGAAAGUCGGGCUUAGUGAUCCGGUGGUACCUCGUGGGAGGGCCAUCGCUCAACGGAUAAAAGCUACCUCGGGGAUAACAGGCUGAUCUCCCCCAAGAGUCCACAUCGACGGGGAGGUUUGGCACCUCGAUGUCGGCUCGUCGCAUCCUGGGGCUGAAGUAGGUCCCAAGGGUUGGGCUGUUCGCCCAUUAAAGCGGCACGCGAGCUGGGUUCAGAACGUCGUGAGACAGUUCGGUCCCUAUCCGUCGCGGGCGUAGGAAAUUUGAGAGGAGCUGUCCUUAGUACGAGAGGACCGGGAUGGACUGACCUCUGGUGUACCAGUUGUUCCGCCAGGAGCACAGCUGGGUAGCUAAGUCGGGAAUGGAUAAACGCUGAAAGCAUCUAAGCGUGAAGCCAACCUCAAGAUGAGAUUUCCCAUAGCGUAAGCUAGUAAGAUCCCUUGAAGAACACAAGGUUGAUAGGUCGGGGGUGUAAGCAUGGUAACAUGUUCAGCUGACCGAUACUAAUAGAUCGAGGGCUUGACCAAAU
RNAcentral lists this ribosomal RNA (2912 nucleotides) under Clostridium perfringens. Its description in RNAcentral is "bacterial LSU rRNA". It matches the Rfam family "Bacterial large subunit ribosomal RNA". The record is from RNAcentral. Lineage: Bacteria; Bacillati; Bacillota; Clostridia; Eubacteriales; Clostridiaceae.